Xyrauchen texanus (razorback sucker) is the source of this 1392-nucleotide long non-coding RNA. RefSeq lists it as uncharacterized. Lineage: Eukaryota; Metazoa; Chordata; Actinopteri; Cypriniformes; Catostomidae. The record is from RefSeq and is a predicted model, not a curated record. The transcript has 4 exons.
AUUUGGUUGUGUUGUGAGCUUUUGCAGCGCGUUUCUGUAUUUUGUUGUGUUGUGAAUAUUUGGAGCACACGUGUGUUGUGAAACUGAUGAAGAUGUUUUCUUAAUUUGCGGGUGUUUUUUUUUUAUUUGCAUGCGUUUUUUUCUAUUUGCAUGCGUCUUCUUUAGGUUGCAGCACGUUGAGCUCUGUCGGUAUUGUAGAAUAAUCAUUUUUUAGAUGGUAUAAUAAUCAUUCUUAGAUAUCAAAAUACUUAUAUGAGUUUCUAGGCCUUUGUGUGAGCCAGGAGAGAGCAUAUGAGGUUACUAAAAGUGUUGAUGCUGCAGAGAACACAAAGAAUGGUAUACAACCUUGAAAUACAGGAUGUACUUAUUUAAUCAGUUAUUAUAUGAAUGGUGUCUUGUAUUCUUGCAGCUGGUGUUUUGCUGUUUCUGUUAAUUAGUAGUAUUCUAACAUAUAUCUUUGGUGUAUUUCCUUUAUGCUGACACGUAUCUCUAAAAUAUAUGGUGUGUCUCAUUAAAAUACAGGAUGCACUUCUUACGAAAACACUUUUAAUAAGUUAGAUAUCUCUUAUAUGAUAUGUUUCUGGCAUGGUGUUUUACCCUGAUGAGUUAAAUAUCUUUGGAGCUUGUAUUUUCUUUCAUUAAUCAAAUGAUACUGUGUAUGAACAAACAAGGCCGCCUCAUUAUGAGGGUACACUGAAAUGUAGGGCAAAGGUAAAAGGUAUGUGAUGGGGACAUGGCUGUUUGUAUCAUACACAGGUUUUCUAAAAUUGAUGCACUUUUACCAUGAACUUAUGUCAAAAAUAAGUGGAGUUACCAGUUGAUGUAUGUUUUUUAAAAAAUAAUUAGAUGGGGGACUUUCCACCAAUAUUUAAUUAGUAAGGAAAAUAGAACAUAUUGGUGGCGAAGGAAAGAGACAAGAGCAAUUAUUCUAUUGGUCAGAGAUAAUGGGCAAGAAGAUAACAAAAAGGUAUAUAACUGAGAACUCAGGAGGAUAGAGUCAGAACAAUCAGCUGACUGGUCUCUUGUUUGUUGGUGAUCAAUAAACUACAGCUUUGGCAUCUGGAACUCAAGACUCUGAAAAUUUGCUUCAACUUAGAGAAACUCUUCGCAAUAUUCCACGACAUCGGCCACCGUACUUUUUUACUGUAUUUUGGGCAUUUGGUGUGCUCCAUGCUCCCAAGAUCAUCUCGGCACCUGUCCCGCGGUGUCCUCUGACUGUCCGGAAGUGCUGAGAGAGCCCGGCUGCGGAUGCUGUUUAGCUUGUGCUCUGAAGAAAGGACCUAUCAACGAUUAUGAAAACUUGGAUCGCAUCGAUCAACUGCUGACUGAACCAUUAAUUAAUGAAACAACGGGUCAGAGCAAAUCUGUCAACAGAUGUGUACUGCAAGGUAU